Molecule: ribosomal RNA, 586 nt
Filed under: uncultured bacterium
Lineage: Bacteria
Description: bacterial SSU rRNA
Rfam family: Bacterial small subunit ribosomal RNA
Source: RNAcentral
CCUACGGGAGGCAGCAGUAGGGAAUCUUCCACAAUGGGCGAAAGCCUGAUGGAGCAACGCCGCGUGAGUGAUGAAGGCCUUCGGGUUGUAAAACUCUGUCAUUCGGGACGAACCGGAGUCUGAGGAAAUGCAGACUCUCUGACGGUACCGGAGGAGGAAGCCCCGGCUAACUACGUGCCAGCAGCCGCGGUAAUACGUAGGGGGCAAGCGUUGUCCGGAUUCACUGGGCGUAAAGCGCGCGCAGGCGGUGAUGUAAGUCUGAGGUGAAAACCCGAAGCUCAACUUCGGGACUGCCUUGGAUACUGCGUCACUUGAGGAUAGGAGAGGCAAGGGGAAUUCCACGUGUAGCGGUGAAAUGCGUAGAGAUGUGGAGGAACACCUGUGGCGAAGGCGCCUUGCUGGCCUAUUUCUGACGCUGAGGCGCGAAAGCGUGGGGAGCAAACAGGAUUAGAUACCCUGGUAGUCCACGCUGUAAACGAUGAGUGCUAGGUGUAGGUGGGCUCAUACCCAUCUGUGCCGAAGCUAACGCAUUAAGCACUCCGCCUGGGGAGUACGGUCGCGAGACUGAAACUCAAAGGAUUGACGG